AAAAGACAAAAUAAGUAAGUGACGGUGUUAGACAUGAAAAUAUACACACAGGUCAUGCUUGAAGGUAUAGGAACUUAUUAUAUGAUAUACAAGCCAAUGUUAAUAUACAGUACAUUACAUUUAUCAUGGUAUCAACCCAGGUAUUCAUAGAUGAGUCUAGUAUAUCCUGGCUUAAAGGAACUCUAGAGGGUUAGGAAUAAAAUCAUGUAUUCCUAACAAUAUAGUGUUUCCCUACCUAUGUAAGUGUCUAUCCCCCUAAUGGGGUUAAAAAUGUAAGAUUUGCCUAUCUUAAACAGACAUAAUAGACACCAAACCAACUUUAGCUUAAUAUAGCAGAUUUAGUGUAUAGAUCAUGCCUCUGCAGUCUCACUGCUUAAUUCUCUUUCAUUUAGAAAUUAAAUCACUUUGUUUAUACAGCCCUAGUCACACCUUCCUGAUUUACACAGCCUUCCUAAACACGUCCUUUAACAUGAGAUAUAAUGUUUAUACUUCCUUUAUUGCAAACUCUGUUUAAUUUACAAUUUCGUAUCUUCUGCUCUGUUAAUAGCUUGCUAGAUCUCACUGGAGCUUCCUGUGUGUAGCAGGAGACAAACACUUUUAAACUCAACAUAUGACUCAAUGCUCAUGGCUAGGCUCCACCCCCCCUACGUAUAGAUUUUUUUAUUAUAUAACAUAUAUAAAAAUAUUUCACAGUUCAAAAUAUUAAAUCAUUUGAAAAGGGCUUGGCCUCCAGACAACUACCAUAUAUACUCAAGUAUAAGUCUAGUUUUUCAGCACAUUAUUUGACUUAUACUCGAGUCAGUGUCUGUAUUAUGGCAACUUACAUUGCCGUAAUACAGACCAGGACCGCCGGGCUCAUUACAAGCCCGGCGGUCCUGUUGGGGGCUGACAGAUAGCUGUUACUUACCUUCCUGCUGCUCCUGUCAGCUCCCUUCUCCUCCACUGUAAGUCUCGCGGUGUGACUACCGCGCGGAUAACCCGUGGCAACGCUCUGACCCCGCGGCUCUCGCGAGACUUACAGUGGAGCUGACAGGAGCUGCAGGAAAGGUAACAGCUCUCUGCCAGCCCCCCUCCUAC
Molecule: non-coding RNA, 1077 nt
Organism: Pelobates cultripes (western spadefoot toad)
Lineage: Eukaryota; Metazoa; Chordata; Amphibia; Anura; Pelobatidae
Source: the annotation of a GenBank genome assembly